This 467-nucleotide ribosomal RNA is filed under the name uncultured bacterium. Its description in RNAcentral is "partial 16S ribosomal RNA". The stretch from base 13 to 373 matches the Rfam family "Bacterial small subunit ribosomal RNA", at positions 40 to 399 of the family's 1533-position model. The record is from RNAcentral.
GACGAACGCUGGCGGCGUGCUUAACACAUGCAAGUCGAACGGAAAGGCCCUGCUUUUGUGGGGUGCUCGAGUGGCGAACGGGUGAGUAACACGUGAGUAACCUGCCCUUGACUUUGGGAUAACUUCAGGAAACUGGGGCUCAUACCGGAUAGGAGCUCCUGCUGCAUGGUGUGGGUUGGAAAGUUGCGGCGGUUGGGAAUGGACUCGCGGCUUAUCAGCUUGUUGGUGGGGUAGUGGCUUACCAAGGAUUGGACGGGUAGCCGGCCUGAGAGGGGGACCGGCAACAGGGGAAUAGGGGUGGGGCCAAGAGGCAUCCGGGGGGAAGGGGGGGGAAAUUGUGCAAAAGGGGGGGAGGCCGGAAGGAAGAACGCCGGGGGGGGGAGGCGGGUUUUGGGGUGGAAAACAAUUUGUGCGUGAGAGGAAGCGUGGGGAAGGGAAAUGGUAAAAAAGGCACGGGUAAAUAAGGG